Molecule: ribosomal RNA, 440 nt
Filed under: uncultured bacterium
Lineage: Bacteria
Description: partial 16S ribosomal RNA
Rfam family: Bacterial small subunit ribosomal RNA
Source: RNAcentral
CCUACGGGUGGCAGCAGUGGGGAAUAUUGCACAAUGGGGGAAACCCUGAUGCAGCGACGCCGCGUGAGUGAAGAAGUAUUUCGGUAUGUAAAGCUCUAUUAGUAGGGAAGUAAACGACGGUACCUGAUUAAGAAGCCCCGUCUAACUACGUGCCAGCUGCCGCGGUAAUACGUAGGGGGCCAGCGUUAUCCGGAUUUACUGGGUGUAAAGGGAGCGUAGACGGCAGCACAAGUCUGGAGUGAAAUGCCGGGGCUUAACCCCGGAACUGCUUUGGAGACUGUGCAGCUAGAGUGCAGGAGAGGUAGGUGGAAUUGCUGGUGUAGCGGUGAAAUGCGUAGAGAUUAGGAGGAACACCAGUGGCGAAGGCGGCUUACUGGACUGUAACUGACGUUGAGGCUCGAAAGCGUGGGGAGCAAACAGGAUUAGAUACCCUUGUAGUC